RNAcentral lists this RNase P RNA (393 nucleotides) under Muribaculaceae bacterium. Its description in RNAcentral is "RNase P RNA component class A". It matches the Rfam family "Bacterial RNase P class A". From Rfam's summary of the family: Ribonuclease P (RNase P) is a ubiquitous endoribonuclease, found in archaea, bacteria and eukarya as well as chloroplasts and mitochondria. Its best characterised activity is the generation of mature 5'-ends of tRNAs by cleaving the 5'-leader elements of precursor-tRNAs. Lineage: Bacteria; Pseudomonadati; Bacteroidota; Bacteroidia; Bacteroidales; Muribaculaceae. The record is from RNAcentral.
GCAGAAGGGCCGACGAUCGCUUCAUGCCGGGUGCAUGAAGAGGAAAGUCCGGGCAACGUAGAGCAGCAUACUUUCUAACGGAAAGUCGGAGGCGACUCUGAGGAUAAUGUGACAGAAAACAACCGCCAUGCCGCGUAUCCACGUCGGCACGGUAAGGGUGAAAAGGCGGGGUAAGAGCCCACCGGCUCCCGUGGCGACCCGGGAGGCCGCACAUCCUAUGUGUUGCAAGGUCAAGUAUACCGGCAUUUAAGGAUUGCUCGUCCAUUGCCGGGGGGUAGGCCGCUAAAGUCGGCGGGCAACCGUCUGACUCAGAUAAAUGAUCGUCAGCAUCGCGCAUGGAUUCUACGGAUUCCCGCUAUGCCACAUAACCCGGCUUAUAACCCUUCUGCUCAU